UUAAUGACUCUCGGCAACGGAUAUCUCGGCUCUCGCAUCGAUGAAGAACGUAGCGAAAUGCGAUACUUGGUGUGAAUUGCAGAAUCCCGUGAACCAUCGAGUUUUUGAACGCAAGUUGCGCCCGAAGCCAUUUGGUUGAGGGCACGUCUGCCUGGGCGUCACGC
Molecule: ribosomal RNA, 164 nt
Filed under: Astilbe biternata
Lineage: Eukaryota; Viridiplantae; Streptophyta; Magnoliopsida; Saxifragales; Saxifragaceae
Description: 5.8S ribosomal RNA
Rfam family: 5.8S ribosomal RNA
About the family: 5.8S ribosomal RNA (5.8S rRNA) is a component of the large subunit of the eukaryotic ribosome. It is transcribed by RNA polymerase I as part of the 45S precursor that also contains 18S and 28S rRNA.
Source: RNAcentral